AUACGUAGGGGACGAGCGUUGUCCGGAAUUACUGGGCGUAAAGGGCGCGCAGGCGGAUAUUUAAGUCAGCUGUAAAAGGCAUGAGCUCAACUCAUGUAUGCGGUUGAAACUGGGUAUCUAGAGUGCUGGAGAGGUAGGCGGAAUUCCCGGUGUAGCGGUGAAAUGCGUAGAUAUCGGGAAGAACACCAGUGGCGAAGGCGGCUUACUGGCCAGUAACUGACGCUGAAGCGCGAAAGCCAGGGGAGCAAACGGGAUUAGAUACCCCGGUAGUCCUGGCAGUAAACGAUGUAUGCUGGGUGUGGGAGUAGCGAUACCUCCGUGCCGAAGUUAACGCGAUAAGCAUUCCGCCUGGGGAGUACGAUCGCAAGAUUGAAACUCAAAGGAAUUGGCGGGG
This 394-nucleotide ribosomal RNA is filed under the name uncultured bacterium. Its description in RNAcentral is "partial 16S ribosomal RNA". It matches the Rfam family "Bacterial small subunit ribosomal RNA", at positions 523 to 918 of the family's 1533-position model. The record is from RNAcentral.